UGAAAAUGAUGGAGUAGUUAAUAGCCUACUAACCAAAAAAAGCCCAGGACCAGACGGAGUCACAGUCGAACUCUACCAGAGGUAAAAAGAGGAGCUGGUACCAUUCCUUCUGAAACUACUCCAAACAAUUGAAAAAGAGGGAUUCUUCCCUAAUGUACUUUAUGAGGCCAGCAUCAUCCUGAUACCAAAACCUGGUAGAGACACAUCAACAACAACA
Molecule: long non-coding RNA, 217 nt
Organism: Sapajus apella (tufted capuchin)
Lineage: Eukaryota; Metazoa; Chordata; Mammalia; Primates; Cebidae
Exons: 3
Source: RefSeq, a predicted model, not a curated record